GGCCAAGUAGCUCAAUUGGUUAGAGCAUUGUCCUGAUAUGCCAAAGUUGCAGGUUUGAUACCUGGCCAGGGCA
Non-coding RNA from Myotis lucifugus (little brown bat), 73 nucleotides. Lineage: Eukaryota; Metazoa; Chordata; Mammalia; Chiroptera; Vespertilionidae. The record is from Rfam.